AGACCCGAAACCCGGUGAUCUAGCCAUGGGCAGGUUGAAGGUUGGGUAACACUAACUGGAGGACCGAACCGACUAAUGUUGAAAAAUUAGCGGAUGACCUGUGGCUGGGGGUGAAAGGCCAAUCAAACCGGGAGAUAGCUGGUUCUCCCCGAAAGCUAUUUAGGUAGCGCCUCGUGAAUUCAUCUCCGGGGGUAGAGCACUGUUUCGGCUAGGGGGCCAUCCCGGCUUACCAACCCGAUGCAAACUGCGAAUACCGGAGAAUGUUAUCACGGGAGACACACGGCGGGUGCUAACGUCCGUCGUGAAGAGGGAAACAACCCAGACCGCCAGCUAAGGUCCCAAAGUCAUGGUUAAGUGGGAAACGAUGUGGGAAGGCCCAGACAGCCAGGAUGUUGGCUUAGAAGCAGCCAUCAUUUAAAGAAAGCGUAAUAGCUCACUGGUCGAGUCGGCCUGCGCGGAAGAUGUAACGGGGCUAAACCAUGCACCGAAGCUGCGGCAGCGACGUUUAUGCGUUGUUGGGUAGGGGAGCGUUCUGUAAGCCUGCGAAGGUGGCCUGUGAGGGUUGCUGGAGGUAUCAGAAGUGCGAAUGCUGACAUAAGUAACGAUAAAGCGGGUGAAAAGCCCGCUCGCCGGAAGACCAAGGGUUCCUGUCCAACGUUAAUCGGGGCAGGGUGAGUCGACCCCUAAGGCGAGGCCGAAAGGCGUAGUCGAUGGGAAACGGGUUAAUAUUCCCGUACUUGGUGUU
Molecule: ribosomal RNA, 745 nt
Filed under: Salmonella enterica subsp. enterica serovar Bovismorbificans
Lineage: Bacteria; Pseudomonadati; Pseudomonadota; Gammaproteobacteria; Enterobacterales; Enterobacteriaceae
Description: partial 23S ribosomal RNA
Rfam family: Bacterial large subunit ribosomal RNA
Source: RNAcentral